UCCCCUUCCUUCCCCAUCCUCGCGCCGCCACCCCUCUCCCCUUUCUCUUUUUCUCUGUGAACGAAAGGAAGAGGAAAACCCAAGCUUCUGCCACCACCGUGCUCGCCAUGGCGCCGCCACUUCCGGCCGCCCCUCAUCGUUCUGAGAGCACCACGAGAACCGCCUCUUCUCCCUGAUCAUCCUCGUGCAAGGAAUCGAGCCCGGGCGCCUCGUGCCGUCGCGAAGGUCGCCGAUUCCCCGCGCAGACCGUCGCCUUUCUUCUCCAAUUCCGGCCAGCCUCGUCCUCCUCCGGCCAAACCGAGCACGCCCUCGGCUUCCCCGCGUCCGGGCGCAUCCUCGACUCCAUCUUCCUCGUCCUCUUUCGCUCGCAGCCGUCAAGUCCUUCUCCAACCAGGGCCGUCCACCAUGGCCGCCAUGCUCGAGCUCCGCCUCCAUCUGCUUCUUCUUGUUGGGCGACCCAGAACCAUCACCAUCCAAACAAGCAGCGCAGUGAUCCCGCAGGCACCGAUGGUUUUUCUUCCGUGGAGACCUUCCAAAAGCAUCAACGACAUGUAGCUGAGCUGAUCUGCAUAGAUCUUCUGUAGAUGGGCCUCGGCCCAGAUCCUCCACCUCAGAUCAACGCCCGGUGCGGCCCAACCCAAUCCGACGCCGAAGCUGUUCAGUUCCGGCCCAGCAUAGCGCAGCAUCUGCUUCUUCCCGGAUAUGAUCGCGAAGUGGUGUGGUGAGAUACGCCAAGUUCUCCGGAUGUCCCUCGGCAAGCUUUAACAGGCAAGCAUUUCCCCUAUACUCCUGCCCCUGCAGAAGUCGCUCACCUAUUUUAUUUUGCCUUCUCCCUCAUGCUAUCCUUAAGUUGCGUUCUUGUCACGUGUCCUUUCCACUUAUUACCUCAAGCAGCCCAUAUUGCCACCACCACCUCCUACGGCUAUUGUUUGGUUAUCGAGUCCGCCCUUGCGAGUCGUAGUGCAUGCUAGUGCUUAUAUCUUGUUACCGUUGUUGUUAUCUUAUCGGGUUAUAUGUUGGGAAGAAUCAUGGUUACUUUAGUUGUUGAUAAUUGUUUAGCGGAGGCAUCGGUGGGUCAGCUGCUUGUUUUGUGACGGCUCACUUGUGUUUCCUAAAUAUCUUAGGACUCCGAGUUCUUGUUAUCUGUUCCGAGACUGAGCGCUCUAACCACACGUGGGUAUGCUUACCGGAUCUCCCCUCGACCACUGCCGGAAUCUACAGCCUUGUCCAGUGGCCACAACUAGUUUGGAUGUUUGUUUUGUUUCUCCCGGGCGUGCAAGCUUGUUUCUCUAUGGUCAGAUGAUAUGAUGUUACUCUUGGGGAAGCCAUGUUGCCUUGUAACUCCGUUGUCUCUUGCACGCUCGUAGGAUGCGGUACGUAUUGCUGAAGAUGGAUUCACCCUGCGGGCACUGUUUCCAUCCAAAAGCCGUAGACGCAAACAGCUAAGUCCGCAUCGGAGUUUCGACCGGGCUCCGAAACGGGUUAACUUAGUUAGGUGGCUUCCUGGACAUUGUUGUAGUGAAGGAGAGUGCGUGUCGUGAUAUCCACCUGUCGUAAGUGGGUUGAGCGUGCGUGUGGGAACAUUUGGGCACCCCUGCAGGGUUACAAUCUUAUCGAUAAGCCGUGUCCGCGGUUAUGGACGACUUGGAGCUGUAUGACUCGACCAUAGACAACUUACACCUGUUGUUUCAAUCAUAAUUACUUGUGUUGUAAGUUAGCACAACUUCAAUAAUAAAUGGUUAAAACUUGACAACAGUGUGAGUGCCUUUGUUAGUACUUCUUUGCGAAGGGGGAAAACAUCGGCUGUGUUAUGUUUGCAGAGUAUAGAACUGUUAGUUACGCUCUCUCACCUUCUCUAAUUAGACGACUGUUGUAGAGUGUCUCUAUAGGUUUUUUAGUGCUAGCGCGCUGCCGCUUAACUCCACCAUAUUGCCUAUGACGUUCCUCUUGCGUCCUCUAAGUCCCCUGCGUGCCUCAAGUACAAAGGACGACUGGUUGACGAAUGCUUAUACGUCUUGAAGUCUUGUUAAGUACGAACCCGUACUUAUUGCUGCUUCUACGGGAUAUAACCGGGCAGGUAUGAAGAUAUGUUCGAUGAAGACGACGUUAGCAAGGUUACCCUUCCGGCUUGGCCUGGGCAAGGUUAUGGACGCCACUGGUUAUCUUCAGGACUCUUAGUCCAAUUUGUAUCUUGUCCGUACUCGGACGUAGUCGAUCUUCUGUAUGAUUUGGAUCUUUGUAUUGUAUAUUUGUAUCUUGACUCGUCAGAGUCGUUGUUGUAAUAUAUGUAUCUUGUGGGCUC
Molecule: long non-coding RNA, 2302 nt
Organism: Lolium perenne
Lineage: Eukaryota; Viridiplantae; Streptophyta; Magnoliopsida; Poales; Poaceae
Source: RefSeq, a predicted model, not a curated record